Molecule: ribosomal RNA, 253 nt
Filed under: uncultured bacterium
Lineage: Bacteria
Description: partial 16S ribosomal RNA
Rfam family: Bacterial small subunit ribosomal RNA
Source: RNAcentral
UACGUAGGGUGCAAGCGUUACUCGGAAUUACUGGGCGUAAAGCGUGCGCAGGCGGUUUUGUAAGACAGGGGUGAAAUCCCCGGGCUUAACCUGGGAACUGCAUUUGUGACUGCAUAGCUAGAGUACGGUAGAGGGGGAUGGAAUUCCGCGUGUAGCAGUGAAAUGCGUAGAUAUGCGGAGGAACACCGAUGGCGAAGGCAAUCCCCUGGACCUGUACUGACGCUCAUGCACGAAAGCGUGGGGAGCAAACAGG